AGCGCUGCGUCCCACCCUGCAGGACCUCCUGGGGGGACAUCAUCACGAAGAAUUGCCCGGUGGGGGUGGGCUGCCCCAGCAGCGCCUCUGAGUUCUGCGUGGUGACGACAGCGGUGGCGGUGGUCCCGGCGCCGGCGGAUGUGCUGCUGUCGGCCACGGCCGCGGUGGGGAAAUAGGUGUAGUGGGUCUCAGUGGCCGUCGCCUCCGUCUCCACCGCAUCGUCGCUGGUGAAGGCGCCCUGGAUGACGGCCUGUGUCAUGGACUGCGCGGCGGGGUACCCGCUGAUGGCGCUGGUGCCUUCCGUCUGUCCGUCCAGCUGUCCG
This 323-nucleotide long non-coding RNA is filed under the name Gallus gallus (chicken). Lineage: Eukaryota; Metazoa; Chordata; Aves; Galliformes; Phasianidae. The record is from RNAcentral.